UCUCAAAGAUUAAGCCAUGCAUGUCUAGGUACGAGCCUCCGUACAAAGCGAAACUGCGAAUGGCUCAUUAAAUCAGUUAUGGUUCCUUUGAUCGUUACCCCUUACUCGGAUAACUGUGGUAAUUCUAGAGCUAAUACGUGCGAAUGAGCGCCGACCUCGCGGGAGGCGUGCUUUUAUUAGGACCAAGACCAAUCCGGGCCUUCCUGGCCCGGUCCCACUGGCGAAUUCUGGAUAACUUGGCGGAUCGCACGGCCUUUGCGCCGGCGACGAGUCUUUCGAGUGUCUGCCCUAUCAACUUUCGAUGGUACGUUAUGCGCCUACCAUGGUUGUAACGGGUAACGGGGAAUCAGGGUUCGAUUCCGGAGAGGGAGCCUGAGAAACGGCUACCACAUCCAAGGAAGGCAGCAGGCGCGCAAAUUACCCAUUCCCGACACGGGGAGGUAGUGACGAAAAAUAACAAUACAGGACUCUUUCGAGGCCCUGUAAUUGGAAUGAGUACACUUUAAAACCUUUAACGAGGAUCGAUUGGAGGGCAAGUCUGGUGCCAGCAGCCGCGGUAAUUCCAGCUCCAAUAGCGUAUAUUAAAGCUGUUGCAGUUAAAAAGCUCGUAGUUGGAUCUUGGGCCUAGGCUGG
RNAcentral lists this ribosomal RNA (633 nucleotides) under Enteropneusta sp. extrawide-lipped. Its description in RNAcentral is "SSU rRNA". It matches the Rfam family "Eukaryotic small subunit ribosomal RNA", at positions 35 to 655 of the family's 1831-position model. Lineage: Eukaryota; Metazoa; Hemichordata; Enteropneusta. The record is from RNAcentral.